Molecule: long non-coding RNA, 132 nt
Organism: Poecilia latipinna (sailfin molly)
Lineage: Eukaryota; Metazoa; Chordata; Actinopteri; Cyprinodontiformes; Poeciliidae
Exons: 2
Source: RefSeq, a predicted model, not a curated record
CAACUGUUGAGCAGUCAUCUGUAACUGUGCUGUUGAAUUUGUACAAUUUUCAAAUAUCUUAAUUUUCAAAAUCUUUCUGUUUGAGUUGUUUUCAUUCUUGUCUUCCUUCCAAUUGCAUUUGGGAAUCUAACC